Molecule: ribosomal RNA, 409 nt
Filed under: uncultured eukaryote
Lineage: Eukaryota
Description: SSU rRNA
Rfam family: Eukaryotic small subunit ribosomal RNA
Source: RNAcentral
GCACCCGCGGUAAUUCCAGCUCCAAUAGCGUAUAUUAAAGUUGUUGCAGUUAAAAAGCUCGUAGUUGGAUUUCUGCGAGGGUGCCAAUGUCCGCCGACGCGCGUGCGCAGCGGCGCCCUCGCAUCCUUCUGUUACCACCUCUCGGCAUUCACUUGCCGGUGGUCGGCUCAGAGAAUUUACCUUGAGAAAAUUAGAGUGUUUCAGGCAGGCUAGGCCGGAAUACAUUAGCAUGGAAUAAUGGAACAGGACUACGGUCUCGUCGUUGGUUUGAGGGACUGCAGUAAUGAUUAAUAGGGAUAGUUGGGGGCAUUAGUAUUUAAUUGUCAGAGGUGAAAUUCUCAGAUUUGUUAAAGACUAACUUAUGCGAAAGCAUUUGCCAAGGAUGUUUUCAUCGAUCAAGAACGAAAGU